AGGGAUCAUUACUGAGUUGCAAACUCCCAAACCCAUGUGAACUUAUACCUAUACGUUGCUUCGGCGGACCCGCCCCGGCGCUCACGCGACCGGACCCAGGCGACCGUCGGGGGAAAACCAAAACCACUGUUACCCAAGGUGAAACAUCUGAGCACCAAAACAAAUGAAUCAAAACUUUCAACAACGGAUCUCUUGGCUCUGGCAUCGAUGAAGAACGCAGCGAAAUGCGAUAAGUAAUGUGAAUUGCAGAAUUCAGUGAAUCAUCGAAUCUUUGAACGCACAUUGCGCCCGCCAGUAUUCUGGCGGGCAUGCCUGUCCGAGCGUCAUUUCAACCCCUCGAGCCCCCGGGCCCGGUGUUGGGGAUCGACCUGCAGCCCACCCCAGCGGUGGCUGGUCGUCCCUGAAAUACAGUGGCGGUCGCGUCGCGGACCCUCUGCGUAGUAGCAACACCUCGCACUGGAGAGCGGCGCGCCCACGCCCAACCACCAAACUUUUCAAGGUUGACCUCGGAUCAGGUAGGAAUACCCGCUGAACUUAAGCAUAUCAAUA
RNAcentral lists this ribosomal RNA (549 nucleotides) under Ascomycota sp. 08CK013. RNAcentral's name for it is "eukaryotic LSU rRNA". The stretch from base 173 to 326 matches the Rfam family "5.8S ribosomal RNA". Lineage: Eukaryota; Fungi; Ascomycota. The record is from RNAcentral.